Molecule: long non-coding RNA, 110 nt
Organism: Onthophagus taurus
Lineage: Eukaryota; Metazoa; Arthropoda; Insecta; Coleoptera; Scarabaeidae
Source: RefSeq, a predicted model, not a curated record
UAAGUUAAUUGAUUAAUUAAUGGGUUAUACAAACUCUAAAGGAUUCAUUAGAUUGCAAUGCAACGAAGAAAUAAGGCGAAUGUAGGAAAUGAUGGAAAACCAAAUUAAAA